RNAcentral lists this ribosomal RNA (429 nucleotides) under Bacteroidota bacterium. Its description in RNAcentral is "Bacteroidetes bacterium partial 16S ribosomal RNA". It matches the Rfam family "Bacterial small subunit ribosomal RNA", at positions 355 to 776 of the family's 1533-position model. The record is from RNAcentral. Lineage: Bacteria; Pseudomonadati; Bacteroidota.
UAGGGAAUCUUCCGCAAUGGACGCAAGUCUGACGGAGCAACGCCGCGUGUGUGAAGAAGGAUUUCGGUUCGUAAAACUCUGUUGUUAGAGAAGAACAGCGCAUAGAGUAACUGUUAUGCGUGUGACGGUAUCUAACCAGAAAGCCACGGCUAACUACGUGCCAGCAGCCGCGGUAAUACGUAGGUGGCAAGCGUUGUCCGGAAUUAUUGGGCGUAAAGCGAGCGCAGGCGGUCAAUUAAGUCUGAUGUGAAAGCCCCCGGCUCAACCGGGGAGGGUCAUUGGAAACUGGUUGACUUGAGUGCAGAAGGGAAGAGUGGAAGUCCAUGUGUAGAGAUGAAAUGCGUAGAUAUAUGGAGGAACACCGGUGACGAAAGCGGCUCUCUGGUCUGUAACUGACGCUGAGGCUCGAAAGCGUGGGGAGCUAACAGA